CCUACGGGCGGCAGCAGUGAGGACUAUUGGUCAAUGGACGCAAGUCUGAACCAGCCAUGCCGCGUGCAGGAAGACGGCUCUAUGAGUUGUAAACUGCUUUUGUACGAGGGUAAACGCAGAUACGCGUAUCUGUCUGACAGUAUCGUACGAAUAAGGAUCGGCUAACUCCGUGCCAGCAGCCGCGGUAAUACGGAGGAUUCAAGCGUUAUCCGGAUUUAUUGGGUUUAAAGGGUGCGUAGGCGGUCGGAUAAGUUAGAGGUGAAAUCCCGAGGUGCAACUUCGGAAUUGCGUCUGAUAAUGUUCGGCGAGAGAGUAGUUGCGGUAGGCGGAAUGUAUGGUGUAGCGGUGAAAUGCUUAGAGAUCAUACAGAACACCGAUUGCGAAGGCAGCUUACCAAGCUACUUCUGACGUUGAGGCACGAAAGCGUGGGGAGCAAACAGGAUUAGAUACCCGUGUAGUC
This 460-nucleotide ribosomal RNA is filed under the name uncultured bacterium. Its description in RNAcentral is "partial 16S ribosomal RNA". It matches the Rfam family "Bacterial small subunit ribosomal RNA", at positions 338 to 795 of the family's 1533-position model. The record is from RNAcentral.